GCCCGGCUAGCUCAGUCGGUAGAGCAUUAGGCUCUUAACCUAAGGGUCGCGGGUUCGAGCCCCGCGUCGGGUG
Molecule: transfer RNA, 73 nt
Organism: Nosema bombycis CQ1
Lineage: Eukaryota; Fungi; Microsporidia; Nosematidae
Rfam family: tRNA
About the family: Transfer RNA (tRNA) molecules are approximately 80 nucleotides in length. Their secondary structure includes four short double-helical elements and three loops (D, anti-codon, and T loops). Further hydrogen bonds mediate the characteristic L-shaped molecular structure. tRNAs have two regions of fundamental functional importance: the anti-codon, which is responsible for specific mRNA codon recognition, and the 3' end, to which the tRNAs corresponding amino acid is attached (by aminoacyl-tRNA synthetases). tRNAs cope with the degeneracy of the genetic code in two manners: having more than one tRNA (with a specific anti-codon) for a particular amino acid; and 'wobble' base-pairing, i.e. permitting non-standard base-pairing at the 3rd anti-codon position.
Source: Rfam